This 1995-nucleotide long non-coding RNA is filed under the name Lonchura striata (white-rumped munia). Its description in RNAcentral is "domestica (Bengalese finch) lncRNA (ENSLSDG00000013561.1)". Lineage: Eukaryota; Metazoa; Chordata; Aves; Passeriformes; Estrildidae. The record is from RNAcentral.
CCCUUCCCUUCAGCAGUUCCCAGCUCCUCACUUGCCCAGUAACACCAUAAAGCUUCAGAUGAGUUUGGGCUGUGUGUGAGGGCUAGAGUUGCCUGCAGCUCCCCUGCCCUUUAGCCCAGCCAUGUGUGUAACCUGCACACCCCUCACUGCUCACACUCCUGGGGAUUUGGCACUGAGGUGAUGCAGGAUACAUCCCUGAGUCUGGUUUGCAUGGGCGCCCCGGCCAUCUUCCCACACUGGGUAACUACCUUCUGUCUCCCCAAAUUCCCCCUGCAGUUUCAAGUGGAUGUGGGAUUCUCCUUCUCUUCCAGUCUUAGUCUGCUGUGUAGCGUUGCUGCGUGCUGCUCUGCCGCUGCUGCCUUCCAGCCCAGAGCAUUGCAGUGGUGGGUGAGUGAGUCCUGCUUUUGUACCUAGCUCUGAAGUGCUUUGGGGCCCUGCAGGGCGCUCUGGAGCUGUGGCUAGGGCAUGUCAGGCUGAGGGGCUGGCUGGGGUAAGCUGGGCAGACCCCAGGCUGGUGGUGAUUCACCAGCAGGUCCCUUCAGAAGGCAUAUCUCUCCUCUCUGCUUUCUCCCAGCAGCUGGUGAGGAACACAUUGCUGGAGUGCCACUUACACCCACUGCCAUGCCACAUGCUGGUUGCUGCUUCUCUCCCCGCUCCCUUGUGGGUUUUCCUGGUGAGACGUCCCUGGGGAUGGGAAGAAGAAACCAAGUGCUGCCAUUGGCUGCUGCAGCCACAGGCUCCCACGAGACAUCAGCCAUGAGUGGACUGCCAGCAGCAGGUGAAGAUGCAUCAGACACAAGCCUGCAUGGUGGGUGCUCCCUGCAGCUUCCUGGCAGCCUCACAGGGUACUCUUGGAGCCAUGGUGAGGUGCCACUGACCCCUCUCUCACUGCAGGGUCAGGCAUGGCAGGCUUGCUCCAGAAUGUGCAGCAACUGCUGGUGCAGAUCCUGCAGACAUCACGGCAGCAGCAGGCACUACUGGAGAGUCUGGCCAGUGACACAGUCUCCCACCUCCACCAUAUCUCCCACAGCCUUGUGCAGGUGGGCGAGACCCUGCACCAACUCCUGCUCCGACCACAUCCUGGCCCCAUUGGCCACUAUGUCCCCCACAUGCCCCUUUUUGAGGGUGGCUCUUGCUCCUGUGGUGCUCCUCACACUUUCCUGGACCACAAAGAGGAGCCUCAGCUGUCCUGUGAUGCCAGGUGCAUCCCACCCUGAGUGCCACCAUCACUGGCCCCAGGAUUUGGUACAGAGCUUAGCACAAAUCUUUAUGUCAGAGGUUCCAGAUAUUUUGAAAGUUUAUACUAGAGAGACAUUUUGAUGAAAUUAAAAAUAGCUUUUCUACCAGUGAUGGCAACUGACCAAUUCUUUCCCCCUCUCUGGGGAAUGUUCCCCUUCUCACUUUCGAGAUGAGCAUGAGGGGAACUCAGCUGUUUACAGACUUAGAGAAAGUCCCAACCCACACAGCAAGGGACAGAUGUACUUUUCCUACCCUGUGGUGGUCAUCACACCUUCCUGGGAGAUGCUGGGCUGUGGAGCAGAGCAGGGCCACUGCCAGGAGUGGAGGCCAGGAAGCCCAGGCUGCAUCUUUCUCCAAAGGAAGAGGCUGAGGUGGAUGAUGCUGCAGUGUGUGCAGCAGCCACAGUCCCUCGGUGUCCAGGUCCUUGGCAGGGAUCUUCCAGGGAACAAUCUGGGACUUUCACACCCAGUACUGUGAGCUUGCCACACUUCUGGUGAGGCCCUUGUGCUCCAUGAGAGAUCCUCCUGCUUCAGUACAUGGAUCAUCAUCAGGUAACAGUAGCUGCAGAAAUACCAUGGCAUGUGCCUAAAGAAGAGACCUCUGACUUGCCUGGACCCCACCACAUCCUCCGUGGGGAUGGGGCAAUGUGCUGUCUGCCUCCAGAAUCUCUGCCACAUCCAAGGAGUGGAAAUGUACAUCGUGUAGACAUCAUGAAAGUGGUCCUGCCAUGCCAGAUGCUGUGUGCUGGAAGUGUGG